AUACGGAGGGUGCAAGCGUUAAUCGGAAUUACUGGGCGUAAAGCGUACGUAGGCGGUUAUUUAAGUCAGAUGUGAAAGCCCCGGGCUUAACUUGGGAACUGCAUUUGAAACUGGGUAACUAGAGUUUAGUAGAGGGGAGUGGAAUUUCAGGUGUAGCGGUGAAAUGCGUAGAGAUCUGAAGGAACACCAGUGGCGAAGGCGACUACCUGGACUAAAACUGACGCUGAGGUACGAAAGCGUGGGUAGCAAACAGGAUUAGAAACCCCAGUAGUCC
Molecule: ribosomal RNA, 274 nt
Filed under: uncultured bacterium
Lineage: Bacteria
Description: partial 16S ribosomal RNA
Rfam family: Bacterial small subunit ribosomal RNA
Source: RNAcentral